CUCAGAUUGAACGCUGGCGGCAGGCCUAACACAUGCAAGUCGAGCGGUAGCACAGAGAGCUUGCUCUCGGGUGACGAGCGGCGGACGGGUGAGUAAUGUCUGGGAAACUGCCUGAUGGAGGGGGAUAACUACUGGAAACGGUAGCUAAUACCGCAUAANGUCGCAAGACCAAAGUGGGGGACCUUCGGGCCUCAUGCCAUCAGAUGUGCCCAGAUGGGAUUAGCUAGUAGGUGGGGUAACGGCUCACCUAGGCGACGAUCCCUAGCUGGUCUGAGAGGAUGACCAGCCACACUGGAACUGAGACACGGUCCAGACUCCUACGGGAGGCAGCAGUGGGGAAUAUUGCACAAUGGGCGCAAGCCUGAUGCAGCCAUGCCGCGUGUGUGAAGAAGGCCUUCGGGUUGUAAAGCACUUUCAGCGGGGAGGAAGGCGNUAAGGUUAAUAACCUUGNCGAUUGACGUUACCCGCAGAAGAAGCACCGGCUAACUCCGUGCCAGCAGCCGCGGUAAUACGGAGGGUGCAAGCGUUAAUCGGAAUUACUGGGCGUAAAGCGCACGCAGGCGGUCUGUCAAGUCGGAUGUGAAAUCCCCGGGCUCAACCUGGGAACUGCAUUCGAAACUGGCAGGCUAGAGUCUUGUAGAGGGGGGUAGAAUUCCAGGUGUAGCGGUGAAAUGCGUAGAGAUCUGGAGGAAUACCGGUGGCGAAGGCGGCCCCCUGGACAAAGACUGACGCUCAGGUGCGAAAGCGUGGGGAGCAAACAGGAUUAGAUACCCUGGUAGUCCACGCCGUAAACGAUGUCGAUUUGGAGGUUGUGCCCUUGAGGCGUGGCUUCCGGAGCUAACGCGUUAAAUCGACCGCCUGGGGAGUACGGCCGCAAGGUUAAAACUCAAAUGAAUUGACGGGGGCCCGCACAAGCGGUGGAGCAUGUGGUUUAAUUCGAUGCAACGCGAAGAACCUUACCUGGUCUUGACAUCCACAGAACUUUCCAGAGAUGGAUUGGUGCCUUCGGGAACUGUGAGACAGGUGCUGCAUGGCUGUCGUCAGCUCGUGUUGUGAAAUGUUGGGUUAAGUCCCGCAACGAGCGCAACCCUUAUCCUUUGUUGCCAGCGGUUCGGCCGGGAACUCAAAGGAGACUGCCAGUGAUAAACUGGAGGAAGGUGGGGAUGACGUCAAGUCAUCAUGGCCCUUACGACCAGGGCUACACACGUGCUACAAUGGCAUAUACAAAGAGAAGCGACCUCGCGAGAGCAAGCGGACCUCAUAAAGUAUGUCGUAGUCCGGAUUGGAGUCUGCAACUCGACUCCAUGAAGUCGGAAUCGCUAGUAAUCGUAGAUCAGAAUGCUACGGUGAAUACGUUCCCGGGCCUUGUACACACCGCCCGUCACACCAUGGGAGUGGGUUGCAAAAGAAGUAGGUAGCUUAACCUUCGGGAGGGCGCUUACCACUUUGUGAUUCAUGACUGGG
RNAcentral lists this ribosomal RNA (1464 nucleotides) under Klebsiella quasipneumoniae. Its description in RNAcentral is "bacterial SSU rRNA". It matches the Rfam family "Bacterial small subunit ribosomal RNA". The record is from RNAcentral. Lineage: Bacteria; Pseudomonadati; Pseudomonadota; Gammaproteobacteria; Enterobacterales; Enterobacteriaceae.